RNAcentral lists this long non-coding RNA (697 nucleotides) under Coturnix japonica (Japanese quail). Its description in RNAcentral is "lncRNA (ENSCJPG00005019615.1)". The record is from RNAcentral. Lineage: Eukaryota; Metazoa; Chordata; Aves; Galliformes; Phasianidae.
AUGGUCAGUAACCAGCUGGUGAAAUACAAUGAUUCAGAGAAGGAAGCAACACACACGAGUCUGUGCUUAUCUUUUUCAGAGCAGCUGAUCCUACUGGGUCAGACACAGUGUUCCGUGAUCACAACUACACUGCCUCCAGGGUCAGCACUAGAAGAGGUGAAAACAGAUGGACCUUGGCCACACCAGCAAGACAAGUUUGCUAAUUUCUGUCAGAUGCAUGGAGCACUGCUAUCUUGUUAUGCCACCCCAUGGAAGCGUAAGGAAUGGAUUCAUGUGUUUGUGGAAAAUAGUUGUGUUAGUAGGUAGGGAAAGAUGAAAAUGAGAUCCCAGAUUGGUAUUUUAUGUUAGUAAGCAUUGUUAAAGUUACAGAUGUGGUUGUUCAGUGUUUGUUUUUGUUGUUGUGUUGUUCUUUUUUAAGUAACUAUUUUAUGUAGAGACCUCUUGCUGUAGACAAUUCAGUUUUAUUUCCAUUGUUUAGUUUUUAUGUUAUUAUUUACAAUAGGGAGUGUAAGAAGAGCAAAACGUUACUUCAGCACCUAAGACAUUUAAGGAAGAGUGAAAGCAAUAACAGUGUUGUUCAGAAAAAGCCUAUUUGGUCUCUGUUCUUCCUUAAUACCCAGAAGAAAAGCAGCCGUGACAAUUUAAUGGAUUUUACUGUCAGAAUAAAAUUCCUAUUAAUAUGAGAAAACUGGGAACA